RNAcentral lists this ribosomal RNA (253 nucleotides) under uncultured bacterium. Its description in RNAcentral is "partial 16S ribosomal RNA". It matches the Rfam family "Bacterial small subunit ribosomal RNA", at positions 524 to 776 of the family's 1533-position model. The record is from RNAcentral.
UACGUAGGGCGCAAGCGUUGUCCGGAAUUAUUGGGCGUAAAGAGCUCGUAGGCGGCUUGUCACGUCGGGUGUGAAAGACCGGGGCUUAACCCCGGUUCUGCAUUCGAUACGGGCUGGCUAGAGUGUGGUAGGGGCGUGCGGAACUGUGGGUGGAGCGGUGAAAUGCGUUGAUAUCCACAGGAACUCCGGUGGCGAAGGCGGCACGCUGGACCCCUUCUGACGCUGAGGCGCGAAGGCCAGGGGAGCAAACGGG